Molecule: long non-coding RNA, 940 nt
Organism: Cervus elaphus (red deer)
Lineage: Eukaryota; Metazoa; Chordata; Mammalia; Artiodactyla; Cervidae
Exons: 3
Source: RefSeq, a predicted model, not a curated record
ACUACUUUUCCUGUUUUUAUCCUCAUGACCGUGAGAGUAGAUAAUUUGGGUUUCUUAGGUUUAGCUUUUUUAUCUUUGCUUACCAAAAUCAAAAUGUCUUAUUGCCUGAGAUUUUCAUUUAACUAGAAGACCAUGGAGAGUAGACUGACUUGUCCACAGAAAAGUUUUAGCUGUAUUCACUGAUCCAUUUUGUGUGAAAUACCAAAUCCUGAAAAUUUAUGCUUCUACAUCUCCCACCAUAAAAAGUUGGUACAAUGAGACAAAUCAAAUGAUGAAGGAAGCAAAAGUCCAGUCAGGAGAAACUAAUGAGAGAUCCAGUAUGCAAUGCAGAAAGGAGUUAGGGACAAAUAUACUCAGUUGGAUGGCUGAGGCACAGUAAGCCUAGAAUUGACCCAGAAUAUAUACAGAUUUUGCUCUUGUUGCAGGGCUUCCUUGGUGGCUCAGACAGUAAAGAACUUGCCUGCAAUACAGGAGACCUGGGUUCCAUCCCUGGGUCGGGAAGAUCCCCUGGAGAAGGGAAUGGCUACCCACUCCAGUAUUCUUGCCUGGAGAAUUCCACGGACAGAGGAGCCUGGCAGCCUACAGUACAUGGGAUCGAAAAGAGUCGGACACAACUGAGUGAUAUACAAGGCCAACCUCUAAGUACUUUAAAUCAGACCAGUGCUUCACUGAGGGAAGCUAGAGUGUCCUACAGGCAAAAUGGACCUUGUUACCUUGUUACUUUGACAGCCACCGUGAUGGCUUGUCAUGGGGCGGACAGGAGAUGUAUGAGUCAUCUGGGAGCAGUAGGGAGUUGGCAAGAGCUGGCCUCUGAGGGAAUAGAGGCAGAUAUCAAGUCAUAUCUAUUGGUAAGUCAUCUGAUUGGAGAGACAUUUCAUUUGAUGGAAUUUUCCAUUUGAGAUUGGUCAUCCAGAGAAAAUUCCAGUGUUAUAGCUUUAGA